GAGUUUGAUCCUGGCUCAGGACGAACGCUGGCGGCGUGCCUAAUACAUGCAAGUCGAGCGGACAGAUGGGAGCUUGCUCCCUGAUGUUAGCGGCGGACGGGUGAGUAACACGUGGGUAACCUGCCUGUAAGACUGGGAUAACUCCGGGAAACCGGGGCUAAUACCGGAUGGUUGUUUGAACCGCAUGGUUCAAACAUAAAAGGUGGCUUCGGCUACCACUUACAGAUGGACCCGCGGCGCAUUAGCUAGUUGGUGAGGUAACGGCUCACCAAGGCGACGAUGCGUAGCCGACCUGAGAGGGUGAUCGGCCACACUGGGACUGAGACACGGCCCAGACUCCUACGGGAGGCAGCAGUAGGGAAUCUUCCGCAAUGGACGAAAGUCUGACGGAGCAACGCCGCGUGAGUGAUGAAGGUUUUCGGAUCGUAAAGCUCUGUUGUUAGGGAAGAACAAGUACCGUUCGAAUAGGGCGGUACCUUGACGGUACCUAACCAGAAAGCCACGGCUAACUACGUGCCAGCAGCCGCGGUAAUACGUAGGUGGCAAGCGUUGUCCGGAAUUAUUGGGCGUAAAGGGCUCGCAGGCGGUUUCUUAAGUCUGAUGUGAAAGCCCCCGGCUCAACCGGGGAGGGUCAUUGGAAACUGGGGAACUUGAGUGCAGAAGAGGAGAGUGGAAUUCCACGUGUAGCGGUGAAAUGCGUAGAGAUGUGGAGGAACACCAGUGGCGAAGGCGACUCUCUGGUCUGUAACUGACGCUGAGGAGCGAAAGCGUGGGGAGCGAACAGGAUUAGAUACCCUGGUAGUCCACGCCGUAAACGAUGAGUGCUAAGUGUUAGGGGGUUUCCGCCCCU
Molecule: ribosomal RNA, 850 nt
Filed under: Bacillus subtilis
Lineage: Bacteria; Bacillati; Bacillota; Bacilli; Caryophanales; Bacillaceae
Description: bacterial SSU rRNA
Rfam family: Bacterial small subunit ribosomal RNA
Source: RNAcentral